Molecule: ribosomal RNA, 433 nt
Filed under: uncultured bacterium
Lineage: Bacteria
Description: partial 16S ribosomal RNA
Rfam family: Bacterial small subunit ribosomal RNA
Source: RNAcentral
GACGAACGCUGGCGGCAUGCCUAACACAUGCAAGUCGAACGAGACCUUCGGGUCUAGGUGCGCAGGGGUGCGUAAGGCGUGGGGACCUGCCCGUAGGUUCGGAAUAACUCCCCGAAAGGGGUGCUAAGACCGGUUAAGGUAUUCGGGCCAAGGAUUUAUCGCCUUUGGGUGGGCGCGCGUUGGAUUCGCUAGUUGGUAGUGGAAAAGCCUGGCAAGGCGACGAUGCAUAGCUGGUCGGAGAGGAUGAUCAGCUACACUUGGACUGAGACACGGACUAGACUCCGACGGGAAGGAGCAGUGUGGUAUACUGGAGGCGGGGCGAAAGUCCGAUACAGCAACGUCGCGGGAGUGAUGAAGGCCGUAGUGUUGCAAAGCUGUCUGAGACGGGACGAGAAUGACAGUACCGGGAGAAUAAGCACCGGCUAACUCCGUG